CACCACUCAAGCCUCGCUUGGUAUUGGGCGACGCGGUCCGCCGCGCGCCUCAAAUCGACCGGCUGGGUCUUCCGUCCCCUCAGCGUUGUGGAAACUAUUCGCUAAAGGGUGCCGCGGGAGGUCACGCCGCAAAACAACCCCAUUUCUAAGG
Molecule: unclassified non-coding RNA, 151 nt
Filed under: Cladosporium sphaerospermum
Lineage: Eukaryota; Fungi; Ascomycota; Dothideomycetes; Cladosporiales; Cladosporiaceae
Description: ITS2
Source: RNAcentral